RNAcentral lists this ribosomal RNA (223 nucleotides) under uncultured bacterium. RNAcentral's name for it is "partial 16S ribosomal RNA". It matches the Rfam family "Bacterial small subunit ribosomal RNA", at positions 108 to 334 of the family's 1533-position model. The record is from RNAcentral.
GGGUAAUGUCUGGGAAACUGCCCGAUGGAGGGGGAUAACUACUGGAAACGGUAGCUAAUACCGCAUAACGUCGCAAGACCAAAGAGGGGGACCUUCGGGCCUCUUGCCAUCGGAUGUGCCCAGAUGGGAUUAGCUAGUAGGUGGGGUAACGGCUCACCUAGGCGACGAUCCCUAGCUGGUCUGAGAGGAUGACCAGCCACACUGGAACUGAGACACGGUCCAG